AGGAUGCUCGGUGCUGGCAUCUGCUAGGCUUCUAGGGAGGCCUCAGGAAGCUCACAAUCAUGGCAGAAGAUGCAGUCUCGCUCUGUCUCCCAGGCUGGAGUGCAAUGGCGCCAUCUCGGCUCACUGCAACCAGGUGAGGAACCAGGCCCUGGGAGAAGAAAAGCGAGGUGCUCCAGGUCAUGGUGCCAGCCAGAUCAGGUCUUUUUACUCCUGGAGCGGAUGUGGCAAGAGGAAGAGGAAGAGAGAGGAGACUUCGGAAGGAGUGGAGUCAUUCUGGGAAGAGGGAAUGUUGAGAAGGGCACAGCUUUGAGAAGCCUGUGCAAGGGCUAGGGGAUGGGGCAGGGACAAGAGAUAGGGGUGUGCUGACGGCAGCUCCUGGGUUUCUGGCUGUGCUGAGCAGAGAAAAUAUGAAGGAGACGCAGGCUUGGGAGAAGAUGGACACUUCAGUUGUUGAUGUGUUAAGUGGGAGGUGCUGUUUAUACCACUGAAUGGACUUCUCAAGGGAGCAAGUAGGUAAACAGUUGGCCCUCCGUAUCCACAGGUUCCAUAUCUAUGAAUUCAGCCAACCUCAGAUCACACAAAUAAAAAACAAUACAAUGAAACAACUAUUUAUAUAGUAGCAUUUACAUUGUAUUAAGUAUUGUAGGUAAUCUAGAGAUGAUUUAAAGUAUAUGGGAGGAUGUAUACAGCUUGUAUGCAAAUACCAUCGAGGGAAGAGAGAGACCCUCUCAUAUUGUUUUAUAUUGUUUUAUACUCAGUACCUGUUCUAAAAA
Long non-coding RNA from Homo sapiens (human), 773 nucleotides. The record is from Ensembl. NCBI's taxonomy places the organism in Eukaryota, Metazoa, Chordata, Mammalia, Primates, Hominidae.